This is a ribosomal RNA of 1526 nucleotides. It matches the Rfam family "Bacterial small subunit ribosomal RNA".
CAUUUAUGGAGAGUUUGAUCCUGGCUCAGGACGAACGCUGGCGGCGUGCUUAACACAUGCAAGUCGAACGGUGAUGUCAGAGCUUGCUCUGGCGGAUCAGUGGCGAACGGGUGAGUAACACGUGAGUAACCUGCCCCCGACUCUGGGAUAACUGCUAGAAAUGGUAGCUAAUACCGGAUAUGACGAUUGGCCGCAUGGCCUGGUCGUGGAAAGAAUUUCGGUUGGGGAUGGACUCGCGGCCUAUCAGGUUGUUGGUGAGGUAAUGGCUCACCAAGCCUACGACGGGUAGCCGGCCUGAGAGGGUGACCGGCCACACUGGGACUGAGACACGGCCCAGACUCCUACGGGAGGCAGCAGUGGGGAAUAUUGCACAAUGGGCGAAAGCCUGAUGCAGCAACGCCGCGUGAGGGAUGACGGCCUUCGGGUUGUAAACCUCUUUUAGUAGGGAAGAAGCGAAAGUGACGGUACCUGCAGAAAAAGCACCGGCUAACUACGUGCCAGCAGCCGCGGUAAUACGUAGGGUGCAAGCGUUGUCCGGAAUUAUUGGGCGUAAAGAGCUCGUAGGCGGUUUGUCGCGUCUGCUGUGAAAUCCCGAGGCUCAACCUCGGGUCUGCAGUGGGUACGGGCAGACUAGAGUGCGGUAGGGGAGAUUGGAAUUCCUGGUGUAGCGGUGGAAUGCGCAGAUAUCAGGAGGAACACCGAUGGCGAAGGCAGAUCUCUGGGCCGUAACUGACGCUGAGGAGCGAAAGCAUGGGGAGCGAACAGGAUUAGAUACCCUGGUAGUCCAUGCCGUAAACGUUGGGAACUAGAUGUGGGGACCAUUCCACGGUCUCCGUGUCGCAGCUAACGCAUUAAGUUCCCCGCCUGGGGAGUACGGCCGCAAGGCUAAAACUCAAAGGAAUUGACGGGGGCCCGCACAAGCGGCGGAGCAUGCGGAUUAAUUCGAUGCAACGCGAAGAACCUUACCAAGGCUUGACAUAUACCGGAAACAUGCAGAAAUGUGUGCCCCGCAAGGUCGGUAUACAGGUGGUGCAUGGUUGUCGUCAGCUCGUGUCGUGAGAUGUUGGGUUAAGUCCCGCAACGAGCGCAACCCUCGUUCUAUGUUGCCAGCACGUAAUGGUGGGAACUCAUAGGAGACUGCCGGGGUCAACUCGGAGGAAGGUGGGGAUGACGUCAAAUCAUCAUGCCCCUUAUGUCUUGGGCUUCACGCAUGCUACAAUGGCCGGUACAAAGGGCUGCGAUACCGUAAGGUGGAGCGAAUCCCAAAAAGCCGGUCUCAGUUCGGAUUGAGGUCUGCAACUCGACCUCAUGAAGUCGGAGUCGCUAGUAAUCGCAGAUCAGCAACGCUGCGGUGAAUACGUUCCCGGGCCUUGUACACACCGCCCGUCAAGUCAUGAAAGUCGGUAACACCCGAAGCCAGUGGCCUAACCGCAAGGGAGGAGCUGUCGAAGGUGGGAUCGGUGAUUAGGACUAAGUCGUAACAAGGUAGCCGUACCGGAAGGUGCGGCUGGAUCACCUCCUUUCUA